GAGGGUAUAGCUUAGGCGGCAGGGCAACGGUCUUCAAAACCGUGGAUGUGGGCUCAGUUCCUAUUGUGCUCG
RNAcentral lists this transfer RNA (72 nucleotides) under Candidatus Hodgkinia cicadicola. RNAcentral describes it as "tRNA-Ser". It matches the Rfam family "tRNA". From Rfam's summary of the family: Transfer RNA (tRNA) molecules are approximately 80 nucleotides in length. Their secondary structure includes four short double-helical elements and three loops (D, anti-codon, and T loops). Further hydrogen bonds mediate the characteristic L-shaped molecular structure. tRNAs have two regions of fundamental functional importance: the anti-codon, which is responsible for specific mRNA codon recognition, and the 3' end, to which the tRNAs corresponding amino acid is attached (by aminoacyl-tRNA synthetases). tRNAs cope with the degeneracy of the genetic code in two manners: having more than one tRNA (with a specific anti-codon) for a particular amino acid; and 'wobble' base-pairing, i.e. permitting non-standard base-pairing at the 3rd anti-codon position. Lineage: Bacteria; Pseudomonadati; Pseudomonadota; Alphaproteobacteria; Hyphomicrobiales. The record is from RNAcentral.